UACGUAGGGGGCAAGCGUUGUCCGGAAUCAUUGGGCGUAAAGGGCGCGCAGGCGGCCCUUGAAGUCAGGGCGUGAAAGCCCCGGGCUCAACCUGGGAGGUGCGCUUGAUACUCGAGGGCUUGAGUGCGGGAGAGGAGAGUGGAAUUCCCAGUGUAGAGGUGAAAUUCGUAGAUAUUGGGAAGAACACCGGUGGCGAAGGCGGCUCUCUGGACCGUAACUGACGCUGAGGCGCGAAAGCGUGGGAGCAACAGG
This 252-nucleotide ribosomal RNA is filed under the name uncultured bacterium. RNAcentral describes it as "partial 16S ribosomal RNA". It matches the Rfam family "Bacterial small subunit ribosomal RNA", at positions 524 to 776 of the family's 1533-position model. The record is from RNAcentral.